Molecule: ribosomal RNA, 643 nt
Filed under: Lacticaseibacillus casei
Lineage: Bacteria; Bacillati; Bacillota; Bacilli; Lactobacillales; Lactobacillaceae
Description: bacterial SSU rRNA
Rfam family: Bacterial small subunit ribosomal RNA
Source: RNAcentral
GCUCAGGAUGAACGCUGGCGGCGUGCCUAAUACAUGCAAGUCGAACGAGUUCUCGUUGAUGAUCGGUGCUUGCACCGAGAUUCAACAUGGAACGAGUGGCGGACGGGUGAGUAACACGUGGGUAACCUGCCCUUAAGUGGGGGAUAACAUUUGGAAACAGAUGCUAAUACCGCAUAGAUCCAAGAACCGCAUGGUUCUUGGCUGAAAGAUGGCGUAAGCUAUCGCUUUUGGAUGGACCCGCGGCGUAUUAGCUAGUUGGUGAGGUAAUGGCUCACCAAGGCGAUGAUACGUAGCCGAACUGAGAGGUUGAUCGGCCACAUUGGGACUGAGACACGGCCCAAACUCCUACGGGAGGCAGCAGUAGGGAAUCUUCCACAAUGGACGCAAGUCUGAUGGAGCAACGCCGCGUGAGUGAAGAAGGCUUUCGGGUCGUAAAACUCUGUUGUUGGAGAAGAAUGGUCGGCAGAGUAACUGUUGUCGGCGUGACGGUAUCCAACCAGAAAGCCACGGCUAACUACGUGCCAGCAGCCGCGGUAAUACGUAGGUGGCAAGCGUUAUCCGGAUUUAUUGGGCGUAAAGCGAGCGCAGGCGGUUUUUUAAGUCUGAUGUGAAAGCCCUCGGCUUAACCGAGGAAGCGCAUCGG